RNAcentral lists this ribosomal RNA (492 nucleotides) under uncultured bacterium. RNAcentral's name for it is "partial 16S ribosomal RNA". It matches the Rfam family "Bacterial small subunit ribosomal RNA", at positions 29 to 507 of the family's 1533-position model. The record is from RNAcentral.
AGUGAACGCUGGCGGUAGGCCUAACACAUGCAAGUCGAACGGCAGCACAGUAAGAGCUUGCUCUUACGGGUGGCGAGUGGCGGACGGGUGAGGAAUACAUCGGAAUCUACUUUUUCGUGGGGGAUAACGUAGGGAAGCUUACGCUAAUACCGCAUACGACCUACGGGUGAAAGCAGGGGAUCUUCGGACCUUGCGCGAUUGAAUGAGCCGAUGUCGGAUUAGCUAGUUGGCGGGGUAAAGGCCCACCAAGGCGACGAUCCGUAGCUGGUCUGAGAGGAUGAUCAGCCACACUGGAACUGAGACACGGUCCAGACUCCUACGGGAGGCAGCAGUGGGGAAUAUUGGACAAUGGGCGCAAGCCUGAUCCAGCUAUACCGCGUGGGUGAAGAAGGCCUUCGGGUUGUAAAGCCCUUUUGUUGGGAAAGAAAAGCAGCAGGUUAAUACCCCGCUGUUCUGACGGUACCCAAAGAAUAAGCACCGGCUAACUUCGUG